RNAcentral lists this ribosomal RNA (466 nucleotides) under uncultured bacterium. RNAcentral's name for it is "partial 16S ribosomal RNA". It matches the Rfam family "Bacterial small subunit ribosomal RNA", at positions 28 to 507 of the family's 1533-position model. The record is from RNAcentral.
GACGAACGCUGGCGGCGUGCUUAACACAUGCAAGUCGUGCGGUAAGGCCCUUUCGGGGGUACACGAGCGGCGAACGGGUGAGUAACACGUGAGCAACCUGCCCUUCACUUUGGGAUAACUGCCGGAAACGGUGGCUAAUACCGGAUAUGACUUCCUCACGCCUGUGGGGUGGUGGAAAGCCUUCGGGUGGUGGGGGAUGGGCUCGCGGUCUAUCAGCUUGUUGGUGGGGUGAUGGCCUACCAAGGCUUCGACGGGUAGCCGGCCUGAGAGGGUGACCGGCCACACUGGGACUGAGACACGGCCCAGACUCCUACGGGAGGCAGCAGUGGGGAAUAUUGGACAAUGGGCGAAAGCCUGAUCCAGCAACGCCGCGUGAGGGAUGACGGCCUUCGGGUUGUAAACCUCUUUCGCCUGCGACGAAGCGAGAGUGACGGUAGCAGGUAAAGAAGCACCGGCCAACUACGUG